Molecule: ribosomal RNA, 391 nt
Filed under: uncultured Enterobacter sp.
Lineage: Bacteria; Pseudomonadati; Pseudomonadota; Gammaproteobacteria; Enterobacterales; Enterobacteriaceae
Description: bacterial SSU rRNA
Rfam family: Bacterial small subunit ribosomal RNA
Source: RNAcentral
AUGCAAGUCGAACGGUAGCACAGAGAGCUUGCUCUCGGGUGACGAGUGGCGGACGGGUGAGUAAUGUCUGGGAAACUGCCUGAUGGAGGGGGAUAACUACUGGAAACGGUAGCUAAUACCGCAUAGCGUCGCAAGACCAAAGAGGGGGACCUUCGGGCCUCUUGCCAUCAGAUGUGCCCAGAUGGGAUUAGCUAGUAGGUGGGGUAACGGCUCACCUAGGCGACGAUCCCUAGCUGGUCUGAGAGGAUGACCAGCCACACUGGAACUGAGACACGGUCCAGACUCCUACGGGAGGCAGCAGUGGGGAAUAUUGCACAAUGGGCGCAAGCCUGAUGCAGCCAUGCCGCGUGUAUGAAGAAGGCCUUCGGGUUGUAAAGUACUUUCAGCGGGG